Molecule: long non-coding RNA, 1134 nt
Organism: Canis lupus familiaris (dog)
Lineage: Eukaryota; Metazoa; Chordata; Mammalia; Carnivora; Canidae
Exons: 2
Source: RefSeq, a predicted model, not a curated record
CCAGGCCCCGCGUUACCCGGGCAACCGGCCGGGUAACCACUCGCGCCCCCUCCCUGCCCCUUCCCACGCGCGCCUCCUGGGGGUGCCCCCUUCCCAAGCCCUGGGCCCCUCCCGCCAACGGUCACCGGGGUGUCCUGGCAGAGGCGGGGGGCUGGGGGAGACGGAGAGGGGUCUGCGAGGAGACAGGACCUGUGAGACAGGCGGGACCCGCUCCACCACCCACUGUCACCUCUCAGGGCCUUAAGGAUGUGCAGGUAUUCGGCUGGGGUCUGAGCAGCAGGCAGUGUGUGAGUCGGGGAGAGCAGCAUUUUUGUGUGGUAACUGUUGGGGUUUCUGACCCUGGCCUCUUCAAACCUCCAGUGGCUAUUCUGGGACUGCCCAGAUUGGGUAUUCCGGGGAGACCUGGGAGUCCUGGAACCUGCUCUCCAGUCACUGGAGCCUCAGCCCCACCCUGAAUCAGGCUUGCAGCCACUGGUGCUGCCUCUGGUGAGGGAGGAGCCAGCGCCCCAGAGCCACACAGGGCAGGGCAAGGCUGGGACUGAUACUAGACCCGCAAGAAACUCCUUGGGGGUGGGGCAGAAGGCUUGGGGAGAGCAAUUCAUCCAAACCAGAGUCAGAGACAGGUUUUUAUUUAAAAUUUAUUGUAAUGGGGUCCGCGCAAAAGGAGGGGGUGAAGGGUGGGGAACAUGCAGGGGACACAGGAACACGAUGACAUGGCCAGGGCCACAGCUUCUGUCGUGGGGGAGAGGGAUGAAAAGAAAAGGCCAGGGCUGGAGCUGGGGUGGCAGAGGGACGGGGGAGACACUGUGACUGCAUUCCCCCCACCCCCAGGAAGCACCUCUAGUCCCUGGAUCCCCCCAUUUACCCUGGCACCCUAAAAUUCCAUCUCUUGUCCUGCCUCUGGCCCUAGUGGCUCCUUCUUUUGCUCCCCUUGACUUGUUUUCCCCUGACAGAUUCUCAAUUAGGACGAUGUUUAGGGGCUGACCCCAAACAACCUCACCUUAUGAAGGUACUACUGUUGCCUUCCCUGCUUCUGCCCCUUCUCCAAUCUCACCUUUUCCCCUCUCUGGGACAGAAUCUCUGAUUCCCCUCCUUCCUCUCCUCCCUCCCCCUGGAAAAAAAAAAAAAAAAAAA